RNAcentral lists this ribosomal RNA (519 nucleotides) under uncultured Glomus. RNAcentral describes it as "SSU rRNA". It matches the Rfam family "Eukaryotic small subunit ribosomal RNA", at positions 569 to 1089 of the family's 1831-position model. Lineage: Eukaryota; Fungi; Glomeromycota; Glomeromycetes; Glomerales; Glomeraceae. The record is from RNAcentral.
AGCAGCCGCGGUAAUUCCAGCUCCAAUAGCGUAUAUUAAAGUUGUUGCAGUUAAAAAGCUCGUAGUUGAAUUUCGAGACCAGUACGCUGGUCGUGCCUUCGGUAUGCACUGGUGUCACUGGUUUCUCCCUUCUGAAGAACCGUCAUGUCAUUAAGUUGGUGUGGCGGGGAAUCAGGACUGUUACUUUGAAAAAUUAGAGUGUUUAAAGCAGGCUCGCGCUUGAAUACAUUAGCAUGGAAUAAUGAAAUAGGACGUUUGACCCUAUUUUGUUGGUUUCUAGGAUCGACGUAAUGAUUAAUAGGGAUAGUUGGGGGCAUUAGUAUUCAAUUGUCAGAGGUGAAAUUCUUGGAUUUAUUGAAGACUAACUACUGCGAAAGCAUUUGCCAAGGAUGUUUUCAUUAAUCAAGAACGAAAGUUAGGGGAUCGAAGACGAUCAGAUACCGUCGUAGUCUUAACCAUAAACUAUGCCGACUAGGGAUCGGAUGAUGUUAAUUUUUAAUGACUCAUUCGGCGUACCCG